Molecule: ribosomal RNA, 496 nt
Filed under: uncultured soil bacterium
Lineage: Bacteria
Description: bacterial SSU rRNA
Rfam family: Bacterial small subunit ribosomal RNA
Source: RNAcentral
AGAUUGAACGCUGGCGGCAUGCUUUACACAUGCAAGUCGAACGGUAACAGGCCGCAAGGUGCUGACGAGUGGCGAACGGGUGAGUAAUGCAUCGGAACGUGCCCAGUCGUGGGGGAUAACGCAGCGAAAGCUGUGCUAAUACCGCAUACGAUCUAUGGAUGAAAGCGGGGGACCGAAAGGCCUCGCGCGAUUGGAGCGGCCGAUGUCAGAUUAGCUAGUUGGUGGGGUAAAGGCCCACCAAGGCGACGAUCUGUAGCUGGUCUGAGAGGACGACCAGCCACACUGGAACUGAGACACGGUCCAGACUCUACGGGAGGCAGCAGUGGGAAUUUUGGACAAUGGGCGCAAGCCUGAUCCAGCAAUGCCGCGUGCAGGAAGAAGGCCUUCGGUAGUAACGUGCUUUUGUACGAACGUAAACGGUACGUGGUUAAUACCGUGGACUAAUGAACGUACCGUAAGAAUAAAGCACCGGACUAACUACGUAGCCAGCAGCCGA